AGAGUUUGAUCCUGGCUCAGGAUGAACGCUGGCGGCGUGCCUAACACAUGCAAGUCGAGCGAAACUGUUACGAUGAAGUUUUCUGAUGGAAUGUUUAUUGACUGAGCGGGGGACAGGUGAGAAACACGUGGGUAACCUGCCUCAUACACGGGGAUAACACUUCUAAAUGACUGCUAAUACCCCAUAAACACACACAAGCGCAUGGGUCCGAGUGAAAAACCCACACGGGAUGAGAUAGACCCCCGUCUGAUAAUCUAUUGGGAGGGGUAACGGCCCCCCCACGCGACGAUCAUUAUCCCACCUGAGAGGGUGACGCGGCCACAUUGUGACUAAGACACAGCCCCCACUCCUGGGGGAGGCAGCGGUGGGGGAUAUUGCACAAUGGGGGACAUCAUGAUGCAGCGACGCGGGGUGAGUGAAGUAGUAUUUUGGUAUGUAAUGCUUUAUCAGCAGGGAAGAAAAAAGAGGGUCCUUGACUAGGAAGCCCGGGUUAGUUAGGUGCCACCAGCGGCGUUAAUAGUUAGGGGCCAAGCUUUUUCGGGAUUUAUUGGGUGUAAAGGGAGGGUAGAGGGCAAUCCAAUUCGGAAGUGAAAUACCGGGGCUUACCCUGGGAAUUGUUUUGGAAACUGUAUGGUUGGAGUCAUGGAGAGGUAAGGGGAAUUCUUAGUGUAGGGGUGAAAUGGGUAGAUAUUAGGAGGACCCCCAGUGGGGAAGGGGGCUUAUUGGACAGUAACUGACGUUGAGGUUGGAAAGCGUGGGGACCAACCAGGAUUAGAUCCCUUGUUAUUCCACCCGUGUAAACGAUGAAUAUUAGGGUUGGUGGGCAAGGCCUCCCCGGUGCCGUAGCAAAACGCAGUAAGUAUUCCACCUGGGGAGUACGUUCGCAAGAAUGAAACUCAAAGGAAUUGACGGGGACCCGCACAAGCGGUGGAGCAUGGGGUUAAUUCGAAGGCAAGCGGAGAACCUUUCCAGACUUUGACCUUCCCGAUGGACGGCCAGGAACGGGUCCCGCCCUUUUGGGGCAGGCGAGACAGGUGGUGCAUGGUUGUCGUCAGCUCGUGUCGUGAGAUGUUGGGUUAAGUCCCGCAACGAGCGCAACCCCUGUCUUCAGUAGCCAGCAGGUGGAGCUGGGCACUCUGGGGGGACUGCCGGGGACAACCCGGAGGAAGGUGGGGAUGACGUCAAAUCAUCAUGCCCCUUAUGAUUUGGGCGACACACGUGCUACAAUGGCGCAGACAGAGGGAAGCGAACCGGCGAGGGGGAGCGAAUCCCAAAAACGGCGCCCCAGUUCGGAUUGUAGUCUGCAACCCGACUACAUGAAGCCGGAAUCGCUAGUAAUCGCGGAUCAGAACGCCGCGGUGAAUACGUUCCCGGGUCUUGCACACACCGCCCGUCA
RNAcentral lists this ribosomal RNA (1396 nucleotides) under uncultured bacterium. Its description in RNAcentral is "16S ribosomal RNA". It matches the Rfam family "Bacterial small subunit ribosomal RNA". The record is from RNAcentral.